CCCCUAGUAACUGCGAGUGAAGCGGGAAAAGCUCAAAUUUAAAAUCUGGCGGUCUUUGGCUGUCCGAGUUGUAGUCUGGAGAAGUGCUUUCCGCGCUGGACCGUGUACAAGUCUCUUGGAACAGAGCGUCGUAGAGGGUGAGAAUCCCGUCUUUGACACGGACUACCAGUGCUUUGUGAUGCGCUCUCAAAGAGUCGAGUUGUUUGGGAAUGCAGCUCAAAAUGGGUGGUAAAUUCCAUCUAAAGCUAAAUAUUGGCGAGAGACCGAUAGCGAACAAGUACCGUGAGGGAAAGAUGAAAAGCACUUUGGAAAGAGAGUUAAACAGUACGUGAAAUUGCUGAAAGGGAAACACUUGAAGUCAGUCGCGUUGGCCAGGACUCAGCCUUGCUUUAGCUUGGUGCAUUUUCUGGUUGACGGGCCAGCAUCGAUUUUGGUUGUCGGAUAAAGGCAGGGGGAAUGUGGCAUCUUCGGAUGUGUUAUAGCCCUCAGUCACAUACGACGGCUGGGAUCGAGGACCGCAGCACGCCUUUAUGGCCGGGGUUCGCCCACGUUCGUGCUUAGGAUGCUGGCAUAAUGGCUUUAAAUGACCCGUCUUGAAACACGGACCAAGGAGUCUAACAUGCCUGCGAGUGUUUGGGUGGAAAACCCGAGCGCGUAAUGAAAGUGAAAGUUGAGAUCCCUGUCGUGGGGAGCAUCGACGCCCGGACCUGACCUUCUGUGAUGGAUCUGCGGUAGAGCAUGUAUGUUGGGACCCGAAAGAUGGUGAACUAUGCCUGAAUAGGGUGAAGCCAGAGGAAACUCUGGUGGAGGCUCGUAGCGAUUCUGACGUGCAAAUCGAUCGUCAAAUUUGGGUAUAGGGGCGAAAGACUAAUCGAACCAUC
RNAcentral lists this ribosomal RNA (881 nucleotides) under Antrodia bambusicola. RNAcentral describes it as "partial large subunit ribosomal RNA". It matches the Rfam family "Eukaryotic large subunit ribosomal RNA", at positions 77 to 944 of the family's 3401-position model. The record is from RNAcentral. Lineage: Eukaryota; Fungi; Basidiomycota; Agaricomycetes; Polyporales; Fomitopsidaceae.